Molecule: ribosomal RNA, 494 nt
Filed under: uncultured bacterium
Lineage: Bacteria
Description: partial 16S ribosomal RNA
Rfam family: Bacterial small subunit ribosomal RNA
Source: RNAcentral
GACGAACGCUGGCGGCGUGCUUAACACAUGCAAGUCGAACGGAAAGGCCUGCUUUCCCUUGUGGAUUGCGGGUACUCGAGUGGCGAACGGGUGAGUAACACGUGAGUGAUCUGCCCCCAACUUGGGUAUAAGCCUGGGAAACUGGGUCUAAUUCCCGAUAGGACUGCAGGGUGGUGCCUGUGGUGGAAAACGAUUUUCUAGUGGUUGGGGAUGAGCUCGCGGCCUAUCAGCUUGUUGGUGGGGUAAUGGCCUACCAAGGCGGCGACGGGUAGCCGGCCUGGGAGGGUGGACGGCCACAUUGGGACUGAGAUACGGCCCAGACUCCUACGGGAGGCAGCAGUGGGGAAUAUUGCACAAUGGGCGGAAGCCUGAUGCAGCGACGCGGCGUGGGGGAUGACGGCCUUCGGGUUGUAAACUCCUGUCGACCGCGGGGAAGCCACCUGGUUGGAAGGGUGGUGACGGUAGUGGUAGAAGAAGCACCGGCUAACUACGUG